Trichonephila clavipes is the source of this 71-nucleotide non-coding RNA. The record is from the annotation of a GenBank genome assembly. Lineage: Eukaryota; Metazoa; Arthropoda; Arachnida; Araneae; Nephilidae.
GGGGGAUAGCUCAGUGGUAGAGUAUUCGACUGCAGAUUGAGAACUCCCCGGUUCAAACCUGGAUGCCACCU